Molecule: ribosomal RNA, 489 nt
Filed under: uncultured bacterium
Lineage: Bacteria
Description: partial 16S ribosomal RNA
Rfam family: Bacterial small subunit ribosomal RNA
Source: RNAcentral
UUGAACGCUGGCGGCAUGCUUUACACAUGCAAGUCGGACGGCAGCACAGAGAAGCUUGCUUCUUGGGUGGCGAGUGGCGAACGGGUGAGUAAUAUAUCGGAACGUACCGAGUAAUGGGGGAUAACUAAUCGAAAGAUUAGCUAAUACCGCAUAUUCUCUGAGGAGGAAAGCAGGGGACCUUCGGGCCUUGCGUUAUUCGAGCGGCCGAUAUCUGAUUAGCUAGUUGGUGGGGUAAAGGCCUACCAAGGCGACGAUCAGUAGCGGGUCUGAGAGGAUGAUCCGCCACACUGGGACUGAGACACGGCCCAGACUCCUACGGGAGGCAGCAGUGGGGAAUUUUGGACAAAGGGCGCAAGCCUGAUCCAGCCAUGCCGCGUGUCUGAAGAAGGCCUUCGGGUUGUAAAGGACUUUUGUCAGGGAAGAAAAGGCUGUUGCUAAUAUCGACAGCUGAUGACGGUACCUGAAGAAUAAGCACCGGCUAACUACGUG